CAAUAAGCGGAGGAAAAGAAACCAACAGGGAUUGCCCUAGUAACGGCGAGUGAAGCGGCAACAGCUCAAAUUUGAAAUCUGGCGUCUUCGGCGUCCGAGUUGUAAUUUGCAGAGGGCGCUUUGGCAUUGGCAGCGGUCCAAGUUCCUUGGAACAGGACGUCACAGAGGGUGAGAAUCCCGUACGUGGUCGCUAGCCUUUACCGUGUAAAGCCCCUUCGACGAGUCGAGUUGUUUGGGAAUGCAGCUCUAAAUGGGAGGUAAAUUUCUUCUAAAGCUAAAUACUGGCCAGAGACCGAUAGCGCACAAGUAGAGUGAUCGAAAGA
RNAcentral lists this ribosomal RNA (323 nucleotides) under Mollisia scopiformis. RNAcentral's name for it is "LSU rRNA". It matches the Rfam family "Eukaryotic large subunit ribosomal RNA", at positions 44 to 364 of the family's 3401-position model. Lineage: Eukaryota; Fungi; Ascomycota; Leotiomycetes; Helotiales; Mollisiaceae. The record is from RNAcentral.